GGAAGUUAAUAUAACUGUGCAAUCCCAUUGGUUUAAUUCAUCUGGUUACCUGUUUAUUUAUACUAGUUACCAGUAACCAGGAAAAUGUGACCAAUGGGAUUGCACAGUUAUAUUAACUUCCUAAGUUUU
Molecule: small RNA, 129 nt
Filed under: Mytilus galloprovincialis (Mediterranean mussel)
Lineage: Eukaryota; Metazoa; Mollusca; Bivalvia; Mytilida; Mytilidae
Source: RNAcentral